AUCUACAUUUGACUGUUGGAGGUACUUUAUCCAAUGCUGGGGUCAGCGGCCAGGCGUUUCGCCAUGGACCUCAAAUAAGUAAUGUUCAUCACCUGGAAGUCAUUACAGGUAAAUUAAGAAGUCCACUUGCUAAAUAUUAUGGCAGAAACAAUGAAAAGCCACCAUUUAUUAGUAAUCACAAGAAAAUAAAGCAACACAAAUCAUCAUUGUCUCUAGAACCGUGUUCUAGUAGUUACACAUGAAAUUACUGCGAAGACUGAUCUUCAAAUGCAUGUGCCCCGUUUAUUCAUCAUAUAAGCUUACCUGAAAUUCACCUUCCACUCUGCAGGAAAAGGAGACGUGCUUAAUUGCUCGGAGAAACAGAAUGACGACCUCUUCCACAGUGUUCUCGGCGGACUUGGUCAGUUUGGCAUCAUAACACGGGCAAGAAUAUCCCUGGAACCAGCACCUGAUAUGGUAAUAACAUUAACAAUAAGAGCAAGAACGAAAUUUGAAGCUCAAAGUUAAUUACUCACACUCUUUGUCACCUUCUCAAUUUCCAGGUGAAAUGGA
RNAcentral lists this long non-coding RNA (552 nucleotides) under Linum usitatissimum (flax). RNAcentral describes it as "long non-coding RNA (LUSI_LNC003943)". Lineage: Eukaryota; Viridiplantae; Streptophyta; Magnoliopsida; Malpighiales; Linaceae. The record is from RNAcentral.